ACUUACUUUCCAGUUUUUACGGCUGCUACUACUGAUGUUGGUAGCGGCUGCUCAGCUCCACCGAUGGAGGCUCCAGAACUUCAGUGCUUAGGGGAUAGAGAAAGCUUGUUGCAGAGACGGCUACAACAGACAUACCCAACCGCUUGUUGCAGGGAAAGAGUGACUGGUGCUGCGAGAAGGCGGCGGCGCUAUGAGAGACUGAGACUUAUUAACACAUUCAAGCGAACACGCUUCAACCAGCAACUACCUUUACGUUAAACGCUACCUAGUUUUAACAUGGCGGGAUCGCGAUGCUCCUGAACAUAUCGGAUCGGUUACAAAAGGGAUCACAACGCUGUCUGCCCUUACUGUUUCUCUACUGUCUAAUUCCUGGAUGCCGUGGCGUUCUUUUACCACAGAACGGCCACGAUCUUCGCCGUUUCAUGUGAUUUUUACCUUUAACCACAGACAACUUCACCGUGGUUAUUUCUUUCGCUGUUGCUUUUGUCAUGGUCUGCUGAGUCAAAACUCUUCCGUGUCGGUUGUAUUGUCGGAUAGGAUGAUUUGCAGAUGAUAAAGACAUGGCUGAAGAGGUUCCCGCCGCACGAAAGACGUCAACGCCGAGAGCUAGAUCUUCUUCUUUGGUCUCCAAGAUCAGAGAGGACAGCAAUCUGAGCGUCAACCCCGCUUUACAAGGGGACAGAGAACCUGGAGCGGUGGCGAAAACCGAUGAGGAUAUCAACAGAAAUGCUUCUGAUGUUGCCGCAGUUGCUCCCUGUGUCACUCAAUCUAACCCUUCCCCCAGUAGUACGUUUAACAAUAUCAACAAUCAUAACAACAGCAACAACAACAGCAACAACAACAGCAGCAACAGUAGUACAAGCAGCAGCAGCAACAACAAUAAUAAUAACGUUAAUAAUAAUCAUAAUAAUCAUAAUAAUAAAUCGGCAAGAAUUAUUGCCAACACAACCGAAACGGUGCAUGACGAACCAGAAGAGGAGGAAUUACCAUACCCAGGAUUUGUACCGACGGCUUUAUAUUGCCUCAAUCAAACCAACAAAUUGCGUUGGGUUUGCUUGAAAAUCAUUACUUGGCCAU
RNAcentral lists this long non-coding RNA (1077 nucleotides) under Octopus vulgaris (common octopus). The record is from RNAcentral. Lineage: Eukaryota; Metazoa; Mollusca; Cephalopoda; Octopoda; Octopodidae.